AUAGCUUUUCUUUCUUAUGUAAAUAUCAGUCUACGGUAAAUACAUGGAGGAGAAGUUAAUUGUUUUACUGCAAGGCUACCCAGAGCGUUACCCUUUGUCCCACGGACUAUUUUACUUGCUUCAUCCUUUCUGUCUGAGGACGUCACAACAUUCGGUUGAAAGGUCAGCCAAACUGACAUAGACAGUGCUACGGUGUUGGAAAUUCAUUUAUUUUUGUUUUGACUUUUUUA
This is a long non-coding RNA of Sebastes umbrosus (honeycomb rockfish), 230 nucleotides long. RefSeq lists it as uncharacterized. The transcript has 3 exons. The record is from RefSeq and is a predicted model, not a curated record. Lineage: Eukaryota; Metazoa; Chordata; Actinopteri; Perciformes; Sebastidae.